Molecule: ribosomal RNA, 253 nt
Filed under: uncultured bacterium
Lineage: Bacteria
Description: partial 16S ribosomal RNA
Rfam family: Bacterial small subunit ribosomal RNA
Source: RNAcentral
UACGGAGGGUGCAAGCGUUAUCCGGAUUCACUGGGUUUAAAGGGUGCGUAGGCGGGCAGGUAAGUCAGUGGUGAAAUCUCCGAGCUUAACUCGGAAACUGCCGUUGAUACUAUUUGUCUUGAAUAUUGUGGAGGUAAGCGGAAUAUGUCAUGUAGCGGUGAAAUGCUUAGAUAUGACAUAGAACACCAAUUGCGAAGGCAGCUUACUACACAACGAUUGACGCUGAGGCACGAAAGUGUGGGGAUCAAACAGG